This 443-nucleotide ribosomal RNA is filed under the name uncultured bacterium. Its description in RNAcentral is "partial 16S ribosomal RNA". It matches the Rfam family "Bacterial small subunit ribosomal RNA", at positions 338 to 795 of the family's 1533-position model. The record is from RNAcentral.
CCUACGGGAGGCAGCAGUGGGGGAUAUUGGACAAUGGGGGGAACCCUGAUCCAGCGACGCCGCGUGAGUGAAGAAGUAUUUCGGUAUGUAAAGCUCUGUCAGCAGGGAAGAAAGAAAUGACGGUACCUGACCAAGAAGCCCCGGCUAACUACGUGCCAGCAGCCGCGGUAAUACGUAGGGGGCAAGCGUUAUCCGGAAUUACUGGGUGUAAAGGGAGCGUAGACGGUUAAGUAAGUCUGGAGUGAAAGGCCGGGGCCCAACCCCGGGACUGCUCUGGAAACUAUUGAACUGGAGUGCAGGGGAGGUAAGCGGAAUUCCUAGUGUAGCGGUGAAAUGCGUAGAUAUUAGGAGGAACACCAGUGGCGAAGGCGGCUUACUGGACUGUAACUGACGUUGAGGCUCGAAAGCGUGGGGAGCAAACAGGAUUAGAUACCCGUGUAGUC